This 112-nucleotide ribosomal RNA is filed under the name Nephila pilipes (giant wood spider). Lineage: Eukaryota; Metazoa; Arthropoda; Arachnida; Araneae; Nephilidae. The record is from RNAcentral.
ACGGCCAUACCAUGCUGAAAACGCCGGUUCUCGUCCGAUCACCGAAGUUAAGCAUCAUCGGGCGCUAUCAGUACUUGGGAGGGUGACCACCUAAGAACACCGCGUGCCGUUA